GAUCCUGCUCAGGAUGAACGCUAGCUACAGGCUUAACACAUGCAAGUCGAGGGGCAGCGGGAAGUCAGCUUGCUGACUUUGCCGGCGACCGGCGCACGGGUGAGUAACACGUAUCCAACCUCCCGCAUACUCGGGAAUAGCCUUUCGAAAGAAAGAUUAAUGCCCGAUGGUUUCAAGGGAUUGCAUGGUAUCUUGAAUAAAGAUUCAUCGGUAUGCGAUGGGGAUGCGUUCCAUUAGG
Molecule: ribosomal RNA, 238 nt
Filed under: uncultured bacterium
Lineage: Bacteria
Description: partial 16S ribosomal RNA
Rfam family: Bacterial small subunit ribosomal RNA
Source: RNAcentral